UAUGUAAAUCUCCCUCCAUCCCUUCAUCAAUAAAUUAAAAUACAAAAAAAGGAAACAAAAACCAAUCAACGGAUACAAAAGUGUGCAGCAAUAAUCAAGAGAGUUUUAUUCAGAAAUUCAUGAAAAGAUUCAAUAGGGCAACAGCAAAGAAAUAACAAACAAACAAAAUGCCAUGAAAACCAGAAUAAACUGAUUCCAAAAUAGAAAAGAACGAACCUUGGUAACAGGAUCCGAAGAAG
RNAcentral lists this unclassified non-coding RNA (239 nucleotides) under Hevea brasiliensis (rubber tree). The record is from RNAcentral. Lineage: Eukaryota; Viridiplantae; Streptophyta; Magnoliopsida; Malpighiales; Euphorbiaceae.